AAAUGAUUCAGUCUGGGGGUCAACAGGUACCCAAAGAUGCUGCAGUCAAGCAGAAUUGAAGACAGCCACUUGGGAGGAAGGUGGAAGCUGAGCAAUAUCAGUUCUCCAAGCAGUUGCAAAGGUCUCAGCAAUAGCUGUCUACUGAGGGCAAAUUUCAGUCCUUGCUGCCAGUCCCUCAAGGGCAGUGAGGUGCACGACCUUCCUGUUUACUGCAGGGCAGUGCCCAGCCCGAGAAUGCCCCAUGAUCAUGUGGAGCAGGUGAUGGAGCCCUCUGGGAACCUGUGUGUCAGAACUACUAUGUGCUGAUUUUCUAGGGGAUAUGAAGCCAGAAUGGAUGUGUGCCUGUUUCCUGACUGCUUGGGAGAAGGAGGAAAUGCAAAGGAAAAAAAGAAAGAAACAAGAACUACAAAAUGAUAACAAGCACCUCUAGCAGGAUGGUCAACCUUACUACACUUGAGAAUCAGUUCUGGCUCCACAAAAGCAAGGACUGAAGACUGUAUCCCCAAAGGACUACCUGACAUUUGCAUACCCCUAAAACCAGGCUUGCAAAGCGAGUCAACUUUUUCAACAGCCCAGGAGUCAUGAAAAGCUCACUAGAGUUGGAGGACUCACAUCCUGGAAAAUUCAUUAUGCCACAUAAUUGCUCCGCCGCCGAGGUGAAAGGCAGCCAGUUGCCUGGGGGAUAAGAAGAGACUAUUGCUAUAUGAAGGAUUUGUU
Molecule: long non-coding RNA, 717 nt
Organism: Catharus ustulatus (Swainson's thrush)
Lineage: Eukaryota; Metazoa; Chordata; Aves; Passeriformes; Turdidae
Exons: 6
Source: RefSeq, a predicted model, not a curated record